Molecule: ribosomal RNA, 447 nt
Filed under: Kluyvera sp. oral taxon B86
Lineage: Bacteria; Pseudomonadati; Pseudomonadota; Gammaproteobacteria; Enterobacterales; Enterobacteriaceae
Description: bacterial SSU rRNA
Rfam family: Bacterial small subunit ribosomal RNA
Source: RNAcentral
AUUGAACGCUGGCGGCAGGCCUAACACAUGCAAGUCGAACGGUAGCACAGAGAGCUUGCUCUUGGGUGACGAGUGGCGGACGGGUGAGUAAUGUCUGGGAAACUGCCCGAUGGAGGGGGAUAACUACUGGAAACGGUAGCUAAUACCGCAUAACGUCGCAAGACCAAAGUGGGGGACCUUCGGGCCUCACACCAUCGGAUGUGCCCAGAUGGGAUUAGCUAGUUGGUGAGGUAAUGGCUCACCAAGGCGACGAUCCCUAGCUGGUCUGAGAGGAUGACCAGCCACACUGGAACUGAGACACGGUCCAGACUCCUACGGGAGGCAGCAGCGGGGAAUAUUGCACAAUGGGCGCAAGCCUGAUGCAGCCAUGCCGCGUGUAUGAAGAAGGCCUUCGGGUUGUAAAGUACUUUCAGCGAGGAGGAAGGCGUUAAGGUUAAUAACCUUAGU